UGGCUCAGGACGAACGCUGGCGGCGUGCUUAACACAUGCAAGUCGAACGAGAAUAGAUUGGAAGCUUGCUUUGAUUUAUUCGAGUGGCGGACGGGUGAGUAACGCGUGAAUAAUCUGUCCUAUACAGGGGGAUAACGCAUCGAAAGAUGUGCUAAUACCGCGUAGGACCACGGGAUCGCAUGAUUCUGAGGUGAAAGGAGCAAUCCAGUAUAGGGUGAGUUCGCGUCUGAUUAGAUAGUUGGUGAGGUAACGGCCCACCAAGUCAACGAUCAGUAGCCGACCUGAGAGGGUGAUCGGCCACAUUGGGACUGAGACACGGCCCAGACUCCUACGGGAGGCAGCAGUGGGGAAUAUUGGGCAAUGGGCGAAAGCCCUGACCCAGCAACGCCGCGUGAAGGAAGAAGGUUUUCGGAUUGUAAACUUCUGUCCUAUGUGAAGAGAAGUAGACGGUAGCAUAGGAGGAAGCCCCGGCUAACUACGUGCCAGCCGCGGC
Molecule: ribosomal RNA, 493 nt
Filed under: uncultured bacterium
Lineage: Bacteria
Description: bacterial SSU rRNA
Rfam family: Bacterial small subunit ribosomal RNA
Source: RNAcentral